Molecule: long non-coding RNA, 1643 nt
Filed under: Arachis ipaensis
Lineage: Eukaryota; Viridiplantae; Streptophyta; Magnoliopsida; Fabales; Fabaceae
Description: long non-coding RNA (AIPA_LNC001752)
Source: RNAcentral
UCUUCCUAAACCUAACGCUGAAACGGAAUCAGACAGGGAGAGAGGGAGGAAAUCAGAGUGUGAUCUAAGCAGCCACCGUUCAGUCACCAGAGCCACCGCUGGGGUCCUUCGCCGUCACUAUCGUCGCCAUCCACGCGAGAUGCAGCGCUGCGAAGUCCAGCCAUCGUGACCUUCGUGGAGCCCGCGUCGCUGUCGCCUCGGCUGUUCCCAAUGCCGCUGGGUCUGUCGCGCGUCGUUGUCUGAGGAGCCACUGCCGCCGUUGCUCGUUGUCUCCCUUAGGGCUGUCACCGUCGCUAGAGCCAGCCGCCUUCGUCGCCGUUCAUCCUUGUCGUCGUCUUCGCCGCUCUGUGGAGGCCGUAGAGAGGAACGCGAACCAGGAGCCAUAGCGCCGCCGCCGCCGAUCUGUCACCGUGCUGCUGCGUCGCCGUUGAUGAAGUUUUUGCCACCGCCGUGAACUGCGAACAGAGGAGAACGAGAGAGGAGGCGAUGAAUGAAGCCGUCACUGAAGUUGUGGCCGUCGUUGCCAGAGGCAUGGAGGAAGGGAGGUAGAACCGCGAGAUAGAAAAGCCACUGUGACUGUCGUUGCUGCCAUGAGUGUGGUCCACCGUCGAGCUGCACACUGCCAUUGGCGUCAGAAACCACCUUUAGAACCACUACUGCUUUGGUGAGCUCUGUCUCCUGUUUUUGCUUCUUUGUCCUACCAAUUUGUUCCUACUUUGAAGCUUGUCCCUGAAACUGUUUGUAUUGUAUAAAGAGAUUAUCGUAAAUUACAUCACCGCCGCCGUUACUAGAGGUAGCUGCCAGCUCUAUUUGGAGACAGCCGCUAAGUCACCACCGAAGCUAAGAACAGGUGCUGGGAUUCGAUGGAGCACCGCUGCUGCUGUGAAUUUGUAAUAUUUGGUUUACCGCGUCUAAAUUCUUCAAUUAUGGCUAAUUGAGGUAGGGGAUUUAACGUUUUUAAUUUAGAAUGCCUACAAAGUUAUUUGGAUAAGUGCAAAUGGUUAACAAUGGUUAAGAAUUUCUUAAUUGACAUGAAUGACUUGAAAUGCUUUUGAAAUUAGUUAGUUAGUUGUGAUUAUUCUGAGCUGUGAGUGGAAUUAGAUGCCGUUGUGAACAAUUAAUUUGAAAAGGUUAACUUUGGUUAAUGCUAUGACUGAUUUUAAUGGAUUUGUUGACAAUUCUGAUUUUAUGUGAUAUUGCUGAAUUGGUUGAAAUGUGGCUGUGAAUGGUGAUUCAUUUGAUAAUACUUGUUAAAUUGAAAUUUGAUGAGUUAACUAUUGAAAAGUUGUCGUAAUGAUAAUUGAUAAACUGAGUUAGAUUUGUGUUUGGUUUGGGAUUAUUGUGAUGAUGGUUGAGGUUGUGAAAUUUGGAGUAAGUUUGAUGAUGUUUUAGUGCUUCAAUUGGAUUAUUGAACUCAGGUUAUGGCUGUGAACGUCUUUGGGCUUUGUUGUGAGUGUUUGAAGCUGUAAUUGAUAUUGUUUUCUCUGAUAUUGAUGGAAUUGUUGAAAGCUGUGAGUGGAAUUAGAUGCUGUUGUGAACAAUUAAUUUGACAAGGUUAACUUUGGUUAAUGCUAUGACUGAUUUUAAUGGAUUUGUUGACAAUUCUGAUUUUAUGUGAUAUUGCUGAAUUGGUUGAAAUGUGG